GCAUCUUGAAGUCUACUUAAUUACAAACAAUGGAUAUUACUUGAUUUUGUCAUUUUUCCACCCAGAUGGUUGGUUGCUGAGCAUACUUUCCGGCCUCCAUAUUAUUAUCACAACUGUAUGAGUGAAUUUAUGAGCCUUAUUCACGGUGGCUAUGAGGCCAAGGUUGAUGGAUUUCUUCCUGGUGGUCCAAGUCUCCAUAACUAUAUGACUCCCCAUGGUCUUGAUACCAAGUCAUAUGAGGUUCUUGUCGAAUGGGUUGGCUUGGCCGUCUUAUUUUCUUCCAUCCAGCCCAAAGUUUGAAUCUCCCCACGCCUAAGCCAUUUUUCUGCUGUAUAACUUCAUUAGUUUUAUUUGUUUGUGUCCACUUUGAUUUAGAAUUGUGGUUGAUUAUCAAAUGAUUAUGUGUUGAUUAUGAAAUAAUGU
Long non-coding RNA from Vigna radiata var. radiata (mung bean), 423 nucleotides. RefSeq lists it as uncharacterized. The record is from RefSeq and is a predicted model, not a curated record. Lineage: Eukaryota; Viridiplantae; Streptophyta; Magnoliopsida; Fabales; Fabaceae. The transcript has 3 exons.